ACAAAUGAAAUAUGAAUGUUGACACAUAAAAAUUCAGCCCAAGUCGAACAGUCCAAGGAGUAAAGCCCAAUGGGAGAAUCCCCAAAACAGACGGCCCAAAUAAUGAAGUCCAAUCAAACGAGUCAAGGUGAAGGCCCAAACAAGAGGCCCAAGAAUGCGGUAAUGCCAUCGCCCAAGUUUGCAAGUCGCUCAGAAUUUGAACGAACGAGUGUCAUACGAUCGCCCAGAGCUGUUGUUCUACUCUCGCCCAAACCUUCAAGUCGCCCAAGGUGUCAAUAAACAUAACGCAUCGUGAUUAUCAAGGAAUGCAGUUAUCAAGGCAGUUGUUAAAGUAACCUUAUCACGUUCCACAACUCAAGGAAGUCAAUCGAAAGCAAUUGGACGAUGAAAGAUAAUGGCAGCAGUUAAAAGGCGGUUUCAUGACAAAAUGACCACUACAAAGAAAGUGGGUAGUUAUAGGACGAUCAAGCAGUUUUCAGAGUAGUUAAUCACAAAGAGAUCGUCU
RNAcentral lists this long non-coding RNA (505 nucleotides) under Olea europaea subsp. europaea. The record is from RNAcentral. Lineage: Eukaryota; Viridiplantae; Streptophyta; Magnoliopsida; Lamiales; Oleaceae.